UUUCAGGGAAUUCCAAAGAAGGGUAACAAACGAACAUGCCGAUGCAGAUGCCCCGCAAUGAUACGAUUGCUCCGGUCAUCUGACAAUGGCUGGUACAUAACCUACUACAGAUCAGAUCACAACCAUGCUCUGACUGAAAGAUGUGGGGAGAAAGUGUAGUGGCCUUCCCACAAACAUAUCGAUAUAUACACAUGGGAUGUCAUUAAGCAACUCCGUGAAAAUAACAUCAGUGUCGGGAAAGUUUACAAUAUAAUUGGUAGCUUCUUCGGGUCAAUGACCAAUAUACCAUUCACCAAAAGAGCUCUCCGAGGUUUGUGUGGAAAGAUGAGUCGAGAACAAGCCGAUAAUGAUGUGAAAAAGACAAUGGAUGUUUUUGCAGAGUUGGGAGCAAAAGAUUCAGGCUUGUACUACAGGGUGCAACCUGAUGUUUUUGCAGAGUUGGGAGCAAAAGAUUCAGAGUUGAGCUUGACGGCGGCCGAUUCACAGCUAUCAACAGGAAAAGAUGACCCGCAAGCCCCCGGGUGGACAAAAAGGUAA
RNAcentral lists this ribosomal RNA (537 nucleotides) under Triticum aestivum (bread wheat). RNAcentral's name for it is "partial small subunit ribosomal RNA". The record is from RNAcentral. Lineage: Eukaryota; Viridiplantae; Streptophyta; Magnoliopsida; Poales; Poaceae.